Molecule: ribosomal RNA, 585 nt
Filed under: uncultured Russula
Lineage: Eukaryota; Fungi; Basidiomycota; Agaricomycetes; Russulales; Russulaceae
Description: eukaryotic LSU rRNA
Rfam family: 5.8S ribosomal RNA (bases 99-254)
Source: RNAcentral
CCCCUUCUGNCUCGNAUCCGAGGGGGGCUCGCGNUUUCACACAAACUUGANGCAGUGNAGAAUGUCUUUUUUCUUUUGCGAUCACNCGCAAUCAAUACAACUUUCAACAACGGAUCUCUUGGUCUCUCGCAUCGAUGAAGAACGCAGCGAAAUGCGAUACGUAAUGUGAAUUGCAGAAUUCAGUGAAUCAUCGAAUCUUUGAACGCACCUUGCGCCCCUUGUCAUUCCGAGGGGCACACCCGUUUGUAGUGNCGAGAAAUUCUCAAAACCCUUUCUUUUUGGUCUUUCGAUCGAAGAAAGGCUUUUGGACUUGGAGGCUUUUUGACUGUGCUUCACCUUGAAGCGAGCUCCUCCUAAAUGAAUCAGUGGUGAUCCGCUUUGCUGAUCCUUGACGUCGAUAAGAUGUUUCUACGUCUUGGGUUUUGGCACUGUCCCUUGGGCACCUGCUUCAAACCGUCUCAUUGACAACGAUGGUGUUCCGGUCACCGCCGCUUCGUCGGCGANAGGCUUGACCCACAAAUGAACCUUGACCUCAAAUCGGGUGAGACUACCCGCUGAACUUAAGCAUAUCAAUAAGCGGAGGAA